Molecule: ribosomal RNA, 253 nt
Filed under: uncultured bacterium
Lineage: Bacteria
Description: partial 16S ribosomal RNA
Rfam family: Bacterial small subunit ribosomal RNA
Source: RNAcentral
UACGAAGGUGGCAAGCGUUGUUCGGAUUUACUGGGCGUACAGGGAGCGUAGGCGGUUGGAUAAGCCCUCCGUGAAAUCUCCAGGCUUAACCUGGAAAGUGCAGAGGGGACUGUUCAGCUAGAGGAUGGGAGAGGAGCGCGGAAUUCCCGGUGUAGCGGUGAAAUGCGUAGAGAUCGGGAGGAAGGCCGGUGGCGAAGGCGGCGUUCUGGACUGCAACUGACGCUGAGGAACGAAAGCCAGGGGAGCAAACGGG